ACGGAUGAGGGUGAUUACAACAUCAAGCUGCGCAACUUGGUGAAAUUCCUGGAAGAGGGCGACAAGACCAAGAUCACGCUGCGUUUCCGCGGCCGCGAGAUGGCGCACCAGGAUAUCGGCAUGCGCGUGCUGGAGCGUUUGCGCACCGAUCUCGAGCCUUAUGGCCAGGUGGAACAGUUUCCCAAGAUGGAAGGCCGCCAGAUGGUGAUGGUGCUGGCGCCGAAGAAAAAGAAAUAAGCAAGGUAUAAGAAUUGCGAAGACGCCAUGGCGCGAGCCAGAGGCGGCUUUGCACUGGCGAUGAACCCGAUUUCAUCGCCCUA
RNAcentral lists this unclassified non-coding RNA (320 nucleotides) under Noviherbaspirillum humi. RNAcentral describes it as "Long range pseudoknot". Lineage: Bacteria; Pseudomonadati; Pseudomonadota; Betaproteobacteria; Burkholderiales; Oxalobacteraceae. The record is from RNAcentral.